Molecule: ribosomal RNA, 253 nt
Filed under: uncultured Parabacteroides sp.
Lineage: Bacteria; Pseudomonadati; Bacteroidota; Bacteroidia; Bacteroidales; Tannerellaceae
Description: partial 16S ribosomal RNA
Rfam family: Bacterial small subunit ribosomal RNA
Source: RNAcentral
UACGUAGGGGGCAAGCGUUAUCCGGAUUUAUUGGGUUUAAAGGGUGCGUAGGCGGAGUGUCAAGUCAGCGGUGAAAGUCUGUGGCUCAACCAUAGAAUUGCCGUUGAAACUGGGGGGCUUGAGUAUGUUUGAGGCAGGCGGAAUGCGUGGUGUAGCGGUGAAAUGCAUAGAUAUCACGCAGAACCCCGAUUGCGAAGGCAGCCUGCCGCAGCGUUACUGACGCUGAAGCUCGAAAGCGCGGGUAUCGAACAGG